RNAcentral lists this ribosomal RNA (502 nucleotides) under uncultured bacterium. RNAcentral describes it as "bacterial SSU rRNA". It matches the Rfam family "Bacterial small subunit ribosomal RNA", at positions 15 to 507 of the family's 1533-position model. The record is from RNAcentral.
GAUCAUGGCUCAGGAUGAACGCUAGCUACAGGCUUAACACAUGCAAGUCGAGGGGCAGCAUGAACUUAGCUUGCUAAGUUUGAUGGCGACCGGCGCACGGGUGAGUAACACGUAUCCAGCCUUCCGUUUACUCAGGGAUAGCCUUCGAAAGAAAGAUUAAUACCUGAUAGUAUGGUGAGAUUGCAUGAUAACACCAUUAAAGAUUUAUUGGCAAACGAUGGGGAUGCGUUCCAUUAGGUAGUAGGCGGGGUAACGGCCCACCUAGCCUGCGAUGGAUAGGGGUUCUGAGAGGAAGGUCCCCCACAUUGGAACUGAGACACGGUCCAAACUCCUACGGGAGGCAGCAGUGAGGAAUAUUGGUCGAUGGGCGAGAGCCUGAACCAGCCAAGUAGCGUGAAGGAUGAAGGUCCUACGGAUUGUAAACUUCUUUUAUACGGGAAUAAAGUUUCCUACGUGUAGGAUUUUGUAUGUACCGUAUGAAUAAGCAUCGGCUAACUCCGUG